This 1382-nucleotide long non-coding RNA is filed under the name Sus scrofa (pig). RNAcentral describes it as "lncRNA (ENSSSCG00070026359.1)". Lineage: Eukaryota; Metazoa; Chordata; Mammalia; Artiodactyla; Suidae. The record is from RNAcentral.
AUGGGCAGGGGAAUAAAGAGUGUGCCGCUUGUUGCCCCGAUGUCCCUGCUACACUGGGGGUCACCCACCUGGCCCCAUGCUGCUGCGGGUGGGCAGGAAGGGCCCCCAUCUUACAGCGGGAGACCCCGGGUGCUUCGCACGAGGGUGUGCCGAGCCCACCGCCUCCACCCACGGCCGCACCUCUCCGGGCUCAGGGCCAGCCAGCGGCCCGCUCCCCAGCAGAGGAGGAGCUCUCUCCAGGGCAGAUUCGCGCCGGCUCCCAUUACCCUGCUGACCUGGAGCCUCAGUUUCCUCAUCUGUGCCGCAGGGAAACCAACAGCGUCCACUCACAAUGGCGGCUUUAGAGGGUUCAGAGAACUCGUGCACAGACGGUGCCUGGCACACGCUGGAGCAGCGGCGCGGCCGCCUCGGCGCCGCCUCUCCGCCCGCCCCCCGCGCUCGGGACCGCACGACCCAGCGCCAGCUGGGCGCUUGUCGCGUCACCUCGACGGAGGGAAACUGAGGCGGGGGCUCCGCAGCCAGGCUCCGUGCGGCACCCAGUGGGCACCCGCCCACUGCGGGCUUCGCGCUGCUUAAGAAACUUGCCCGUCCUCUCAGCAAGGCGGAUCACCCACCCUCCAGAAAACAGACGGGUGUCUGCCUCCCCACCCCCUGGUUGUCGGGAGCGUUAAAUCAGUCGGGUGAUGGGCGGCUGGCCCUCGGAGGUGAUCACCGCGCCAGUCCCAGGGUUCCAGGUCCACCCGCGUCCCCCCCCCGCCCCGCCCCAGCCCCAACCGACGCCGCGGGGCCUCAAAGGCCCAGGAGAAUGUGACCCUGGCUCUGGCCUGCCUCUCUUCACCCAGCCCGGGAACAAAGAGCAGCGCCGGAGCCCAGAACUGGCCACUGCUGGCUGUGGGUGGGGGUUGGAAAGGGACGCUUGGAGGUUGGGCACGGCCAGAGCAGGAGUGGGUCCUGGGAGCUGUGGGCUUUGGGGAUGGGUACCUUUCUUCUUCCCCAGGCGUAGGGAGGCUGGGCUCUGGCUUCUAUUAGAAUGAACCCCUGUUCCCAAGGCAGAACCCAGCGGCAGGAAGUGGGGGUGGGUCUCUGGAGACUGGACUGCUGGCUAGGGGGGUACUGGAGGCCCCCUGCUCCCUCCACCUUGGGCACUGAGCCCAGCUCCACCCUGGUUCUGGGCUGAGGCAAGUGUCUCCUGCAAGUCUUCAAAACAAGGUGACCUGAGGCUCCUCCCUGGUCUCCCUCUGGCCUAGGGGGAGGGCAGUGGGCAGGUGCUAAAGAAUGUUACUUGGGCAGGGUUGCCAAUGACAGCCAAGAGUCAGUCUGAAUUCCCACUUCCCAGACCAUCCUGCCCUUGUGGUCCCCAUCUCCAGAAGGGCCGGUAGCGG